Molecule: transfer RNA, 72 nt
Organism: Camelus ferus (Wild Bactrian camel)
Lineage: Eukaryota; Metazoa; Chordata; Mammalia; Artiodactyla; Camelidae
Rfam family: tRNA
About the family: Transfer RNA (tRNA) molecules are approximately 80 nucleotides in length. Their secondary structure includes four short double-helical elements and three loops (D, anti-codon, and T loops).
Source: Rfam
GAGGAUAUAGCUCAGAGGUAGAGUACGUGCUUGGCAUGCACGAGGUCCUGGGUUCAAUCCCCAGUACCUCCA